UAUUGAAAUUAUUUUAUGUUGCAUAAUGACAACAUGUUGCCCCUAUACAUUUAAGGACAAAGUUCAAUGACCGCCACCUGCUGGAUGGUGAGUGCAGAGGGGCGUGUAAUUGUUGAGCUGGACAAAGAGAAUAUCUUUGCUGAUGCGAUGUCAGUCUUCUUUGGUUCAUUCUAUGUAUUGAACCUGGAAUACCAGGAGUCAGCGUGUGCAACAUUGGAACUAAUUCAGAGAUGAUCCAUGGCCCAUGCUUUCUGGACAUUUACACAAGACGAACAUCAAUGGAGACAAGCUCUCUCGCCAUCUUGCAAGACGCUGUCUCUGUCCAAUAGGUUUUUUGAGUGCAACAGUUUUGAUUUUUUUUUUCCUUCUUUUACCCGUUUGUUAAAAAUUAUUUCAGCUACUUACACUUUAAUUGUCACAUGUA
Oreochromis niloticus (Nile tilapia) is the source of this 424-nucleotide long non-coding RNA. RefSeq lists it as uncharacterized. The record is from RefSeq and is a predicted model, not a curated record. The transcript is spliced from 2 exons. NCBI's taxonomy places the organism in Eukaryota, Metazoa, Chordata, Actinopteri, Cichliformes, Cichlidae.